Molecule: long non-coding RNA, 281 nt
Filed under: Phoenix dactylifera (date palm)
Lineage: Eukaryota; Viridiplantae; Streptophyta; Magnoliopsida; Arecales; Arecaceae
Description: long non-coding RNA (PDAC_LNC002390)
Source: RNAcentral
CAGCAUCAUCUCAAGUAUUUGGUACCCAAUGCCCCUUGACACCAAAUUAUUUACGACUUCAUUUGAAUAGCUUGGCUAACCCAAUCCUUUGCUCUUACUGUCCUAUGAAGGGCUGCAGAUGAAUAAUUUAUGAAGGAACUCCCUUUUCUUUGUUACCUACUAACUUUCUACAAUCACUCAUUGCUCCACAUUCUCCAUUAUUCAGAAGAAGUAAUUCUUCCUAUAACUAAUCAUCGUCGACCGGAUCCACUGAUAUUAUGUCAGGCCGGCAUAUCUUUCUU